This is a long non-coding RNA of Alligator mississippiensis (American alligator), 2565 nucleotides long. RefSeq lists it as uncharacterized. The transcript has 2 exons. Lineage: Eukaryota; Metazoa; Chordata; Crocodylia; Alligatoridae. The record is from RefSeq and is a predicted model, not a curated record.
UUUUUUCCUCUAUGGCUUGGCAGGACCGCUGGAGGGAAACACUAACAACAACAAAAAGUUUCCAUUGUUCACUAGCAAAGAAAAAAAACCGUUUCAACCUCUGUGGGUAAAGAUACACCAUCCAUUUUCCAUCCCUCGCUUGAUCUUACUAGAUAUGUCUUGCCGCCGCUGUUUUGAAGCCUCAACCGAGUUUCUUUUCACCAAGAGGAUCCAGGGGGGCCGCUGCCUUGCGGCUGUAAGGGGCCCUUGGAAGACGCAGGCCGCUCAGCCUCUCCCAGCCGCGCAGGUUAGGGGGGCUGGGAGGGAGAGCGGGAAAGUAGCAAUGGAGAGUGAAGACACAGGAGGGAAGAGAGGCAGAAAGAUCUCCGAAUUUGUAGAGCCAGAGGUGAGUUGGCAAUCCCCCAGACAGACAGAGCCACUGGGAAUUAGCACAUAUGCUUUCCAGUGAAAGCAAUGUUGUUUUAUUUCAAAUAUUGCGCAGGAAAAGAGAUCUUCCCACAAAAAAACUUUUUCUGCAACAUCUGCACUCAUUCAGUCCUUCAAGGAUCUCCAGGAAUACCAGUACACGAUUAAUCAGAAGUAAUCUGAAGAAGAGGAAUUUAGACUGUCCACAAGUGGCUUUCACGUUCCAAAGCAGGACAUUAGAGUAAACAGCUUUGCUUCCGAGACUGACACUUCUGGAGUAUGGUGGGAAAUAAUGAUGUAUGAAAUAAUUAUGUUUAUUUUGCUGACACGCACAUCUUCUGUUAGCAUAUAAAAAUCUUCCCACAAAAAGAAUGGAUUAUUUCAGGAAAGGUUUUCUGUAAUGCUUCAAGUUACUAACCCUGGAACACAGCUGUAGGCUUGAAGGAAGGCCAGUGCAGUGGCCAAUUAAUUAUAAUACUUUAUUUAAAAACACAUGUUGUAAUAAGAAUACACUGUGCAGUUCAGCCACAUCUACUAGCCUUCAGGGCUGCGUCCAGGCAAGUGCAGCCGUGCGGUAUGUGGUACAUGUCUGUGGCGCCACGUCUGCAGCAUGCAGUACAUAUCUGCAGCACGCGGUACACAUCUGCGACACCACAUACCACCUGUUCAGCAGUUCUCCGUGCUGCAAAGGAGCAGUGCAGGGGGCAGGGGUUGGGUUUGACCCCUGGAUAUCCAGGGGUCAGAAAAACCCAUACAAAAAAAAAAAUGGAGCGGCACAUACAGCGGCAGCAUGUGUCACUCAAACCCAGAGCAGGGCCAGCUGGAGCUGUGCUGUGGCUGCUGGCCAGGCUCUGAGUGACAGGAUUGCUACUGCUGCAGCCCCAGGAGGCCCCCAGGUAAGACUGCGGGGGCCAGCCCCAGUGCUGGCCCCAGCCUCCCCUACCCUACCCAGGGUAACCUACUACACACCAGAGGGUGCAUGGCACAGGUGUUCCCUGGGGACAACUAGUGGAGGCAUAAGGUACACCAUUGCUAGUUGUCCCAGAGGAACCAAAAGUUCAUACUCUUCUGUAUGAGGCCCAGGAGUGUGAUAUACUGGAGUAUGAAGCUUCUCCAGCCAGAAGAGAACUCUGUUGCCUGUCUCCUCAGUAAUGUAGACUCCCGUGAGCACAUCACAUAUAUACUCUGCUUUCUAUCCUGGCUUCCUAUAGGAUUUUGAAUUGAGUUCAAGUUUUUGGUCCUAAUCUUCCAGGUUUUCUACAGCACAAGCCACAGAAUAUCUAAAAGAUUGCUUAACACUCUGGGAUGGAGACCAGGGUUGACAUUUUUUCUUCACUAGCACAAUAGAAGGUAAAGCUCAUUUGUGAAAAAGGGGUAAAGCUCAUCCUCUUCAACUCUCUUGAAGGGGUAAAGCUCAUCUGUGCAGGAGGGAGAACUUCCUCAGGAGGUUGGUCUGAGAUGGUGGAGCACACUCCCCCCAGGCCUAGGGACUAUCACAAAUUUUACUGCCUUCCACCCCAAGUGCAAGACACAUUUAUGUGACCUUGCCUCCUCUACCAUGAACACAUAGUACCAUGUGCAUGUUAAAAAACAUAACAAAAACAGUACUGAAAGAAGAGACUGUACUUCACAUGCUUCUUCGUCUGGGGAGAGGAUGGGAGAACACUCACAUGACAAGUUUUAGUUACACUCUCAAUACACUAAUCUGGUUAUAAAUGUGGUAUAAUAACCUAUAUAGAAUAGAACAGAAUACCCAAUCUCUGCAUACUUCAGUAUCACCCUGCUAUUAAUAACAAUGACUGCAAACUAUCCUCAUGUUGAAUGCGAUUCCAUGUUAAUAGAUGAUCGGGGCCUGGUACUAAUAGCACCAAAGUCACAAGUUUGAUCCCAGGGUUGGACUAGAUGAUCUCUUGAAGUCCCUUCCAGCCUUACUUCUCUAUGAUCCAUCUCUGCGAAAUAACAGGCUUUCUCUGUGUAUUAAAAAUAGAUUUUCAGAACCGGUGUAUCUAUUACUGCUUAUCUAUCUCAGUAUCUGUGAAUGGUGAUAGCGCCCUCUCAGUGCAAGGUACCAUUUCACUGAUUCUUUCUGACAGUAAGUCCAGCUUUAUUAUAAAAUGUAUACAUAAAUAGAUUAACAUAAAGCAAUUCUACAUAAGUCAA